CAAAAAUAUACUUUGACUAAUACAUGGGAUCAGAAGGCAUUGGGUCUAAGUUGAGCGCGUUGUUGCUUUAGUUAAGCUAGUAACCAGCUUGCUAACUUUGUGUCUUUUAGGGAUAAAAGUCACAUAAACCAUACUGCAUCAGCCACAAAUGCAAAGUUAUUAAUGACAAGGCCCUCAUAAUCUCACAUGGCAUUCUCUUUUCUGUUGACAAUGAAUCAUGCUUAUCAAUUGCUACAAGUCAAAAACAAAUUAACACACAACCUACAUCAAAUGUUUAAAUAUGGUAACAUUAUUAAAUGGAUGGGCAAAAGCACAAGUAAUCAAGUAUUGACCCGAAUAACCCAUACGCUUAUCAUUGAUUAAAAACAACAAAUCAAAUGUAGUAGAACCUGCAUAAUAAAUGUUCAUAAGUGCCUAGUAAGCAAGGUGAGUCAUUUAAUUCUUACCUUUCUACCAAACAGCUGUGUCUUUCCUAAACCUCAUUUCAUAGAACAUUGGGAUGUCUGUGUGUCCAUCAGUACCUGGUCAGCAAGACAGGUCAUUUAAAAUUUAGAACCUUUCUACCAAAUGGUUGUCUAUCUUAUACUUCAUUUCAUUUCAUAAUAUCACACGUACCUGGUGAGCAAGACAAGCCCUGAUUCAAUACAUUACAUAAAGUGAGAAUCGUCUACAUCAACUAUCGUAAUUUUACAGAUCUUUCACCUGCAAUGAAAUAUUCAAUAAAUUACACCUGAAUUAAGAACCUUUAACAAUUGAUGCAAACAUUAUAUUUCUGACCGACCAGGAGUGCUCAACUGCAGAAGAUAAAUAGAUUUAUUGAACAUAUUUUAGUACAUCUAAACAAGUGUUCUAAGUGACACAUAACAAAAAAACAAAAGGAAUCCAAUGGACACUAAAGUUGUUGAACUGCUGGAAACCCUUGGCAUUUUUCCAUACUACAACAACUCUCUGAAUAGAAUGCACAAGCUAUUAAAAUGCAUCUUUUUUUUUCAAAUGUACAAAGGUGAUUGAAUUAUGGCAGGUUCUAUUUGGAAGUACCACCCAGAUUUGGGACCUGGUCCGGGGGCAAAUAAGGUGGAAACUUUUCUUGCAGGUUGGCCAUAACUGGGAAGUGAUGAACUAAGUAAUGCUAUUGGGGCAAUGGCACCUUAUGCUAUCCUAUGGAUGAUAUGGACUAUACGGAAUGAGUGAAUAUUCAGCAAUGCAAGUUUCGAGAGCAGAGAAGCCGCAAGAAGAAUUAGAGCAACAGUUUGGGGAUGGCUCGAAGUGGACAAGGUGAAACUGCAGCACAAAACAUGCCACAGUUUCAGGGAAAUAGGCCAGGGGUGGGAACAUCUAUUCUCUGGUGCAGGACAACACUGGCAGACACAGUAACUACUCUUGGACUGUAAAGUUUUAGGCAACCAUGUUUUAAGUCUGGUUGGUAUGUGCUUUUGUAUUGUAGGUUCUCUUCUGUGUAACCUGACGGGGAUUCACCUAUUGAUCAGGGUUGUAAAGUUUGAAUGUUACUCAAUAAAAUUCUAUUUCAUACCAAAAAAAAAAAAAAAAAAUCCUUGAUAAAGCUAUGCUUAAGGACACCUUGAUUACUCCAAUUAGAUCCAUCACAGUAAUGAUGGCAUACAAAGACUUACAGUUGCUUCAAUUGUUAUAUACUAUCACAUUACAAAAUCAAUUGGCUUAAUAAAAACGACCAUAAUUAACAAACUAAGGAAUUAUGGUUUCAUCUACGACUUGCAAAAAUGUAAGCAUAACUUCCAAAAUUUUAAGUUGCUUUAAUUCUAAAGUAGGAAAAGAAAUUGAAGAAAAUUCCAAAUUAUCAAAGAUAGAAAACAUUACCUGAAAAGUACACCAAAAAACACUAUCUAGCACAAAGAAGAAAACCCUACUUGAUUUUAAAUCGGAAUCAAUUGAACAACCAAAUCCAAUUAUGAACUAUUUUAUACGAAGAGCGCAAGAGCAAGGGGGGAAGAACAAAAAGCAUUCAAGAGAAAUAAAAUACAAACAAUUUGAGAGAUGGUGAAAGCGUUGAUAGGAGAAGAAAGCUCAUUCUCGGUUGGAGUCUUGGAGAAGGAGAAGACAGAGCUUGGGAGGAAGUUAUUUUCCAUCCACGCCUUGUUUUCCAUGACGUGAUUAAAUUUGAUCUGGUGAAUAUAAUCAGUAACACAUACAGACUGUUACUAUGAUUUUUCUUUACCAUUAGAAAAUAAUUCAGAAUAUUAUUUAUUUAAGACUAAGAGCAUUCCC
RNAcentral lists this long non-coding RNA (2244 nucleotides) under Aquilegia coerulea. RNAcentral describes it as "long non-coding RNA (ACOE_LNC000528)". Lineage: Eukaryota; Viridiplantae; Streptophyta; Magnoliopsida; Ranunculales; Ranunculaceae. The record is from RNAcentral.